RNAcentral lists this ribosomal RNA (387 nucleotides) under uncultured bacterium. RNAcentral describes it as "bacterial SSU rRNA". It matches the Rfam family "Bacterial small subunit ribosomal RNA", at positions 29 to 416 of the family's 1533-position model. The record is from RNAcentral.
AUUGAACGCUGGCGGAAUGCUUUACACAUGCAAGUCGAGCGGCAGCGCGGGGGCAACCCUGGCGGCGAGCGGCGAACGGGUGAGUAACAUAUCGGAACGUACCCAGUCGUGGGGGAUAACUAUCCGAAAGGAUAGCUAAUACCGCAUUACGUCCUGAGGGAGAAAGCGGGGGAUCGCAAGACCUCGCGCGAUUGGAGCGGCCGAUAUCGGAUUAGCUAGUUGGUGGGGUAAAGGCUCACCAAGGCGACGAUCCGUAGCGGGUCUGAGAGGACGACCCGCCACACUGGAACUGAGACACGGUCCAGACUCCUACGGGAGGCAGCAGUGGGGAAUUUUGGACAAUGGGGGCAACCCUGAUCCAGCCAUUCCGCGUGAGUGAAGAAGGCC